UGCUUAUUAGUUUUUUGUGUUUUAGGGUGCUGACUACCAGAUAGAAAGGACAGGCUUGACAAUGGACUCUAGAUAAACUCAGCCUAAGAGCCACUUUUUCUAAAGCUCUGCUCUGUUUGAUAAGAAGGGUGUCACAUACCCUCCGAUAUGGGACCUUUUCUGACUGACAUCACAGGAAAGGUACCGAGGGACAAGGCACAAGGUGGCUGCAGCCUUCAGAAAAGAAGAAAAUGCCUACAGGGACAAGGGGCAAAGUUGCAAGCCUCAAAGAGUCACUGACCAAAGUGCUUUCCCACAACGUGGCCUGCUUGAAAUCCUCUUCAAAUUACAGUCAUAAUAUGUGGGUGAUAUUCUGCUAUGCACCCCAUUAGAAAAAUUUUCUAGUCAGGGCAACUGGCCCCUGCUAAAAUUUUUGGCAGGUAGAGAAGGUAUAAAGUCUCCAGGUCUAAGGCACAACUUUGCAGUUCUGAAGUCAAAUAUUUGGACCUUAUCAUAUCCAAAGGAACUGGAAGACUAAGGGGAAAAAAAUUAAACCCAUACUCUCCUUCCCACUGCCCAAGACCCUAAAAAGAGCUAACAGGCCUUGGGUAGCACAAUAUGGCAAGAUAACAUGACCUCUUUAUCAACUAAAAGGAAACCCAGGGCUGGAGAUUUUAGCUCAGUGAUUCUGAUGCCUGCCUUGCAAGCGCAAGGUCCCGAGUUCGAUCCUCAGUACCAAAAAAAAAAAGGGCAACAGGAUAUGCUACAGUAACUCUGUGAGAGACACUUGGGAGCUGCUCACUCAGCCCUGGAACAAAUGCUCAGUUAGCAGAACUUACAGCCCUGACAGUGUAAAAAUAUGAAAAGAAAGGAACUCUUUAACAGCCUGUGGGUCUCCCCUAAAAUUCCAUAGAAGAGAAACUCCUGAUGUGUUUACUUGCCUUCAAAAGUGGCAGUAACACAUUGCAGAGGCACCAGAAGGGUAUGGAUGAGGUGGCACAGGGUACAUCCAGCUACAGAAAAUGCUGCUCCAGCCCCUAGGAUCUGGAAGUGUCCUUAUCCCAGACUCGGCCCAAGGACUCUCAACCAGAUGAGAAACACACGCCAAGCAUUGGGACUCAGUCCUUUCAAAAUGCUUUACAGGUGAC
This 1127-nucleotide long non-coding RNA is filed under the name Heterocephalus glaber (naked mole-rat). RNAcentral describes it as "lncRNA (ENSHGLG00000045812.1)". The record is from RNAcentral. Lineage: Eukaryota; Metazoa; Chordata; Mammalia; Rodentia; Bathyergidae.